GUUUAAAUAAUUUAAUAAAAAUAUUGAUUUGUGGUGUCAAAAAUGUUUUAAGUAAACUUUAAAUA
This 65-nucleotide transfer RNA is filed under the name Hydropsyche gautamittra. RNAcentral's name for it is "tRNA-His". The record is from RNAcentral. Lineage: Eukaryota; Metazoa; Arthropoda; Insecta; Trichoptera; Hydropsychidae.